RNAcentral lists this ribosomal RNA (253 nucleotides) under uncultured bacterium. RNAcentral's name for it is "partial 16S ribosomal RNA". It matches the Rfam family "Bacterial small subunit ribosomal RNA", at positions 524 to 776 of the family's 1533-position model. The record is from RNAcentral.
GACAGAGGGUGCAAACGUUGUUCGGAAUUACUGGGCGUAAAGCGCGUGUAGGCGGCCAUCUAAGUCGGGCGUGAAAUCCCACGGCUCAACCGUGGAAGUGCACUCGAAACUGGAUGGCUAGAGUCCUGGAGAGGAAGGUGGAAUGCUUGGUGUAGAGGUGAAAUUCGUAGAUAUCAAGCGGAACACCGGUGGCGAAGGCGGCAUCCUGGACCAACACUGACGCUGAUGAGCGAAAGCCAGGGGAGCAAACGGG